UCAAAGGAGGACCAGGAUUUAAGCCUCACAUUACCAGAAAGAGAGCUCCAAGAAGAGCAGAAAGGGCCAUCUCGAAGGGGAGCUGGGCCUCAGAGAGAAAGAAGCUAAACAUUUCCUGGCGUGCCCUGUAAUAACAGGCAGCUGUCCCGUCAACUCCGCCGAAAAAUGAGAUAAUAAGGCAGGCAAAUGAUGUCUUUUAUAUCCCGAAUCUACCACUUCCUGCAGUUUUCUUCUCAAACGCUUUAAGUAACAAGGAUCUGGGCGAUUUUCACACUGUUUCUUCUUCUUCUAAAAAGAUCACUCACUGGGGACAAGGAGACCUCUUGCUGAUCCUGCUGCUUGUGGUGGGGUUUCAGGAGAUAACAACAGCCAGAGAAACACAUUCUGGAACAUCCUGGACGUGAGUUGGGUGUUACAUGUAGGAGGAAAGAGCCGACGGUCUGAAUGGAGGGAAGGGCCAAACGUCUGAAUGAAUCCGUAAACUCCUCUUACACAGACAGCCAGAGAGAAAAACUUGCUUUACUUCAUCUGUUAUUCUGACUCUAAAGAACUCUGCCCCAUGGAAGAAGGCUCUCACUCCUACGACAAAGUUAACGUUCUAUUUCCUGCCCUUCCCUGGAACUAGCCUUGGAGCAGCCGCAGGGUGGGGACUGCUCCCGGGCCGGGAAUGCCGUGCCCACUGCCAGGCCUGUGCAGAGAGCAGGCAGCCCCUGAGCAGGGCUUUGUCUUACCCGGGGUUCAGGCUGCGCCCCGGUUGUGAACCGAUCUUCAGGGGAGGUGCCCUCUGGGGAAAAGAGGAAUUCCAUAGAUGACUGACUGAAGGAGUUUGCUGCCUUCCAGACUGCACUUUUUGCUCUCUCCCCUCUCUCUGAAAGUGUGGUCAAGGUAAGGUCUGUGCAGUGGAGAGCCUAGUGUGGUUUGUUAGCACUGCUGACCCACGUUUCCCGACGGAAACGAAGCACCCUUUGAUUCACUCCAAUGUUUUUCUCUCUCUAGCCUCCUCUUCUCCCCUAAUUUGUUUCCUUUUCGCUCCUCUUCUGAGGAGGGAAUUAUAUAUUAUUGAGCACUAAUGUGUUCAACUGCUUUAUGAGUAUUACCUCAUAGAGUCCUCCUAACAACAC
Molecule: long non-coding RNA, 1121 nt
Organism: Suricata suricatta (meerkat)
Lineage: Eukaryota; Metazoa; Chordata; Mammalia; Carnivora; Herpestidae
Exons: 3
Source: RefSeq, a predicted model, not a curated record